UCCGAUAUGGUGUAACGGCUAACAUUGCCGCCUUUCAACGUGGGAAUAGAACCAGUGCGCGGCAGCUCGGGGUUCGAUUCCCCGUAUCGGAG
Transfer RNA from Punctularia strigosozonata HHB-11173 SS5, 92 nucleotides. It matches the Rfam family "tRNA". Rfam says of the family: Transfer RNA (tRNA) molecules are approximately 80 nucleotides in length. Their secondary structure includes four short double-helical elements and three loops (D, anti-codon, and T loops). The record is from Rfam. Lineage: Eukaryota; Fungi; Basidiomycota; Agaricomycetes; Corticiales; Punctulariaceae.